RNAcentral lists this long non-coding RNA (1763 nucleotides) under Zea mays. RNAcentral describes it as "long non-coding RNA (ZMAY_LNC000926)". The record is from RNAcentral. Lineage: Eukaryota; Viridiplantae; Streptophyta; Magnoliopsida; Poales; Poaceae.
UUAAAAUAGCUCGCUGUUUUGGGAUUUGCCGCCUCAAGUUUCAUCUAGCUACCUCGAACAAAUCCUUCAAUCUCCAUGGCUACAUCGGUACUUCUCCUAUUCCACCUUGUGCUCCUACUAGUAGUGUUUUUAUUCUUGAGUAGCGCAUUUUGCUUUCAACUAGCAUGUCUAAUUGCAUAUAAAUUACUUGUUCUAGAUAUCAACUCAAUUUACUAACGAGGAGGAAAUUAAAAGGAAGAGAAAGAAGCGAAAGAGAGUUGUUGUAUUAGAUGUGUCUAUUAUGGCAAUUAUUGCAAAUCUGUAUCAACGAAGGAGACCUAGACACAUCGUAGAUGCUAACGAAGUUCAAGAGAGAAAUGUCGAGUCCAGAAGACAAAUGCUACGUAAUAUGUACUAGGGUUCAAAUGUCUAUUGCUAUGACAGUUUGCACCUAACUAAGAGAUCUUUUAGUGACUUGAGUGCCAUUUUACGAGAAAAGAGUGGCCUACAGGAUACCCUAAAUGUGUCGGUAGAAGAAAAGCUUGCAAUUUUUCUGCUUAUAGUAGGUCAUAACACCAAAAUGAGGUUGAUCCGUAGCACUUAUGGGUGGUCCAUUGAACCAAUCAGUCGACACUUCAACGAAGUGCUUAGAGGGAUUCUAUUUUUAAGUCAUGAGUUCAUCAAGCUUCCUAAUCCAGAAACCACUCUACCUGAGGAUCCAAAGUGGAAAUGGUUUGAGGAUUGUCUAGGUGCACUAGAUGGCACACAUAUCGAUGUGAAUGUUCCAUUGACUGACCAGGGUAGGUAUAGAAAUAGGAAGCAACGUAUCAUCACUAAUGUAUUAGGGGUUUGUGAUCGACAAAUGAAGUUUUUGUAUGUCUUGGUUGGAUGGGAAGGGUCGGCUUCGGAUUCACGCAUACUACGUGAUGUCAUGUCACGGGAGGACUCAUUUGUUGUUCCUAGUGGUAAAUACUAUCUAGUGGAUGUUGGAUAUACAAAUGGUCCGGGAUUUCUUGCCCCGUACCGAUCUACACGGUACCACUUGAAUGAAUGGGCUAUUCAAGGCAACAAUCCAUCUACUGUGAGAGAGUUAUUCAACCUACGCCAUGCAACAACUAGGAAUGUGAUAGAGAGAACUUUUGGGCUAUUGAAGAUGAGAUGGGCAAUCUUGAGGACCAGCUCAUAUUUUGAUUUAGAAAACCAGGUAUAACAUAGUAGGUAUUCAAUUAAAAUUCAAUUGUUAGUUUUAAAAUUGUGUAUUGACUUAGCCAAAUUAUUCUGUGCAGAUUAGGAUCAUCCAUGUUUGUUGCAUAUUGCAUAAUUUUUUAAGGGAUAGACAAAGAGAUAUGGACGAUAUUCUAAUACAUGAAGUUGAUAGUCUCAUCUCUACUACUCCUACUGAAAAUCAAGGAGAAAUGAGUCUGAUUACGCAUGUUCAAUCAACUAAUGAGUGGGGUAAUUUUAGAGACACCAAAGCUAGUGAAAUGUUUGUUGAUUAUCAAGCGAGGCGUGGUCAAAGCUCAUAGCUGUAUGCUUCUGUUUUCUAUGUCUUCGUCUUUUCUGAUUUUUGUUUGUUUGUGUUUUUAUAUGUGUGGUUCUUUGAUUGUACGACAAGAAAACAAGGGGCUAUGUUCCUUGGAAUAAUGAGAUGGAUAAGGUACUCCUUGAUACAUUUGUGGACUAUUACAAUAAAGGUGAUAGAUGUCAGAUUGGGUGGAAGUCUCAUGUAUACACAGCUGCUGUGAAGAAUGUUUGUGAGAAGUGCAAUGACACCAUUACAAAGG